RNAcentral lists this ribosomal RNA (460 nucleotides) under uncultured bacterium. RNAcentral describes it as "partial 16S ribosomal RNA". It matches the Rfam family "Bacterial small subunit ribosomal RNA", at positions 338 to 795 of the family's 1533-position model. The record is from RNAcentral.
CCUACGGGUGGCAGCAGUGAGGAAUAUUGGUCAAUGGGCGCGAGCCUGAACCAGCCAAGUCGCGUGAGGGAAGACGGCCCUACGGGUUGUAAACCUCUUUUGCCGGGGAGCAACGGGCGCCACGUGUGGCGCCACUGAGAGUACCCGGAGAAAAAGCAUCGGCUAACGCCGGGCCAGCAGCCGCGGUAAUACGGAGGAUGCGAGAGUUAUCCGGAUUUAUUGGGUUUAAGGGGUGCGUAGGCGGAGCGUUAAGUCAGUGGUCAAAUUGAGGGGAGCAAACACUUCCCGCCAGUGAAACUGGCGCUCUUGAGUGGAAGAGAAGUAUGCGGAAUGCGUGGUGUAGCGGUGAAAUGCAUAGAUAUCACGCAGAACCCCGAUUGCGAAGGCAGCAUGCCGGCUUCCUACUGACGCUGAAGCACGAAAGCGUGGGGAUCGAACAGGAUUAGAUACCCGGGUAGUC